Molecule: ribosomal RNA, 747 nt
Filed under: Kocuria rosea
Lineage: Bacteria; Bacillati; Actinomycetota; Actinomycetes; Micrococcales; Micrococcaceae
Description: bacterial SSU rRNA
Rfam family: Bacterial small subunit ribosomal RNA
Source: RNAcentral
AUUAGAUACCCUGGUAGUCCAUGCCGUAAACGUUGGGCACUAGGUGUGGGGGACAUUCCACGUUUUCCGCGCCGUAGCUAACGCACUAAGUGCCCCGCCUGGGGAGUACGGCCGCAAGGCUAAACUCAAAGGAAUUGACGGGGGCCCGCACAAGCGGCGGAGCAUGCGGAUUAAUUCGAUGCAACGCGAAGAACCUUACCAAGGCUUGACAUUCACCGGACCGCCCCAGAGAUGGGGUUUCCCUUCGGGGCUGGUGGACAGGUGGUGCAUGGUUGUCGUCAGCUCGUGUCGUGAGAUGUUGGGUUAAGUCCCGCAACGAGCGCAACCCUCGUUCUAUGUUGCCAGCACGUGAUGGUGGGGGCUCAUAGGAGACUGCCGGGGUCAACUCGGAGGAAGGUGGGGAUGACGUCAAAUCAUCAUGCCCCUUAUGUCUUGGGCUUCACGCAUGCUACAAUGGCCGGUACAAAGGGUUGCGAUACUGUGAGGUGGAGCUAAUCCCAAAAAGCCGGUCUCAGUUCGGAUUGAGGUCUGCAACUCGACCUCAUGAAGUCGGAGUCGCUAGUAAUCGCAGAUCAGCAACGCUGCGGUGAAUACGUUCCCGGGCCUUGUACACACCGCCCGUCAAGUCACGAAAGUUGGUAACACCCGAAGCCGGUGGCCUAACCCCUUGUGGGAGGGAGCCGUCGAAGGUGGGACUGGCGAUUGGGACUAAGUCGUAACAAGGUAGCCGUAAGCUUGGAUCCCGGG